Molecule: transfer RNA, 75 nt
Filed under: Mycobacterium phage Myrna
Lineage: Duplodnaviria; Heunggongvirae; Uroviricota; Caudoviricetes
Description: tRNA-Met
Rfam family: tRNA (bases 8-65)
About the family: Transfer RNA (tRNA) molecules are approximately 80 nucleotides in length.
Source: RNAcentral
GUCGGUUAUCGUUUAACGGAAAAACAAUUCACUCAUAAUGAAUCACUCCGGGUUCGAGUCCCGGUUCCGGCUCCA